This 501-nucleotide ribosomal RNA is filed under the name uncultured Acidovorax sp. Its description in RNAcentral is "partial 16S ribosomal RNA". Lineage: Bacteria; Pseudomonadati; Pseudomonadota; Betaproteobacteria; Burkholderiales; Comamonadaceae. The record is from RNAcentral.
CACGUAGUUAGCCGGUGCUUAUUCUUACGGUACCGUCAUGGACCCUCUUUAUUAGAAAGAGUCUUUUCGUUCCGUACAAAAGCAGUUUACAACCCGAAGGCCUUCAUCCUGCACGCGGCAUGGCUGGAUCAGGCUUUCGCCCAUUGUCCAAAAUUCCCCACUGCUGCCUCCCGUAGGAGUCUGGGCCGUGUCUCAGUCCCAGUGUGGCUGGUCGUCCUCUCAGACCAGCUACAGAUCGUCGGCUUGGUAAGCUUUUAUCCCACCAACUACCUAAUCUGCCAUCGGCCGCUCCGUCCGCGCAAGGCCUUGCGGUCCCCUGCUUUCAUCCGUAGAUCGUAUGCGGUAUUAGCAAAGCUUUCGCUCCGUUAUCCCCCACGAUCGGGCACGUUCCGAUGUAUUACUCACCCGUUCGCCACUCGUCAGCAUCCGAAGACCUGUUACCGUUCGACUUGCAUGUGUAAGGCAUGCCGCCAGCGUUCAAUCUGAGCCAGGAUCAAACUC